CUGCUCUGCAUUUAUCAAUUUUUUCUGAGGAAUUUCUUGACUGCUCUAACACAUUGACUUCACCAGAAGAACUUUACAAUCAACUUAUCAGGUUCUACAAAGUAUGCCAUUAUAACCGGAUUUAUAGAUCCAUUUAGAGACAAUUGAUAUACAUCGUGUCUUCCCAUCUAGGAGCAUGGAAUCACUGACGUUCAAGGAUGUGGCAGUAGACUUCACUUGGGAAGAAUGGAAGUUAAUGGACCCUGCACAAAGGAAUCUUCACAAGGAUGUAAUGCUAGAGACCUACGGGAACUGGCUUCUCUGGGCAAGAAAUUUCUCUUCUGUGACUCUCCAUCUAUUGGACCAAAUGGAUCUUUAUGGUUCAGGGAUUUAUGAUUUCUUAUGGACCCUUUGUGGACUAACUUUAUCCCCAUUUCCAGGACUUGCAGUUUCCAAACCAGACAUGAUCUCCCAAUUGGAGGAAGGAAAAGAACCUGGGAUGGUGGUGAGACGGAUUUAAGGAAACUGACUGGAAGACCAAACCUGAAACCAAGCAUCCUGUUCCAACAGCAGAUAUUUCUGAAGAAGGAACAUGCAAGGGACCAUAAUGGAAAGACUAAUAAAAAAUGAUCCUCAGGAUCCUAGUUUAGGAGAAUCCAGGACAAGAUAUUACAGGUUAUUGAGACAAAAUUUUUGUGAUAAUUUGAAUAAAAGAAUAAUUACCCAAGGGGAAACUCUCACUGAAGAAAGUGACUUCUGGUUGAAGUCUACUCUCUUUAAAGAACAGAGAAGUCUUACAGAAGACAGUCAUCACAGAAGUAAUCUAGAUGGACAAAGUUGGAAAGAAAACUCAGAGCUGAUUAUUCAAUCAGGAACCUACUUGGGCAAGAAAAUUUGCAAGACUGCUAACAGCAACAAGGAUGUGAGAUACUCUUCAGAAGAUUUUUUCCAGAAUCUAUUAUCUUUGGAAAUUUUUUGAAUCAGUAAUAAGUGCAUAUAUACAAAACUCAGGAAAUCCAAAAGAUAUGCCUCAUUAAAAGUGUUCUUCCUCAAUUGAUUCUUCAGAUUUUUCAUUCUCCUGUUCAGUGUUUAGUUCUAGUUUUUCAGUAAUGGAUAUCAUGGAUUCAGAAUAGCAUUAGCAUCUUUGUGCAUAUAUGUACACCUUACUAUAUUUUCAUUGUUUUCUUAAGGUAGUCUCAGAAAUGAAAAUUAACUGUGCUAUGAUUUUUUAAACUUUCCUUCCAAAAUAGUUUCAGCACUUUACAAUGCCAUUGUAAACAUAUGAAGAUGAUAUUUUCAGUAAACUCUCAACAUACCAGAAUGUCA
Molecule: long non-coding RNA, 1305 nt
Filed under: Equus asinus (donkey)
Lineage: Eukaryota; Metazoa; Chordata; Mammalia; Perissodactyla; Equidae
Description: lncRNA (ENSEASG00005029229.1)
Source: RNAcentral